Molecule: ribosomal RNA, 229 nt
Filed under: uncultured bacterium
Lineage: Bacteria
Description: partial 16S ribosomal RNA
Rfam family: Bacterial small subunit ribosomal RNA
Source: RNAcentral
UGAGUAACACGUAUCCAACCUGCCGUCUACUCUUGGCCAGCCUUCUGAAAGGAAGAUUAAUCCAGGAUGGCAUCAUGAGUUCACAUGUCCGCAUGAUUAAAGGUAUCUUCCGGUAGACGAUGGGGAUGCGUUCCAUUAGAUAGUAGGCGGGGUAACGGCCCACCUAGUCAACGAUGGAUAGGGGUUCUGAGAGGAAGGUCCCCCACAUUGGAACUGAGACACGGUCCAA